CCGCACUGGAGGGAGAGCGGCCUGGGGUGUGGGUGUUGUGUGCUGUGUUGCAGAGUCGCAUGGACGACACGUGCGGGCCGAGUGUGUGAGUGGACGCGUGAAUGUGAGCGUGCGUGGGGCGUGCAAGGCGGGUGCGUGACCCCCCCCUACGCCAUUGCCCUCGCUUACACUUUGAUCUUAUUUGAUCGGGUUGUGACUCCAGCCCGCCGGGCCGACCCGAGAUGAAAAGCUCCCCUCCUGCGAAGCCCCUUCCUCGGGGCGCUGUGCAGAGAGGCCCCGUGGGUGGCGGCAGCGCCGCGGUCCCGGAGCCAAUCCUACGGGACCCGGUGCUCAGAAGUGAUGAAUUGAUCAGAUAGACGAGGCCGGGCUUGUCCCGGGCCGCUGAUUAUCGAGGCGAUUCUGAUCUGA
Molecule: non-coding RNA, 408 nt
Organism: Molossus molossus (Pallas's mastiff bat)
Lineage: Eukaryota; Metazoa; Chordata; Mammalia; Chiroptera; Molossidae
Product: small Cajal body-specific RNA 2
Exons: 1
Source: RefSeq, a predicted model, not a curated record